GACGGAGGAGGCAAGCGUUAUCCGGAAUUAUUGGGCGUAAAGGGUACGUAGGCGGCUGGUCAAGUCUGGGGUCAAAGGCCACAGCUCAACUGUGGGAAGGCCCUGGAAACUGACCGGCUAGAGUGAGGUAGGGGUUGCGGGAAUUCCCGGUGUAGCGGUGAAAUGCGUAGAGACCGGGAAGAACACCUGAGGCGGAAGCGCGCAACUGGGCCCCAACUGACGCUGAGGUACGAAAGAUAGGGGAGCAAACAGG
This 253-nucleotide ribosomal RNA is filed under the name uncultured bacterium. RNAcentral's name for it is "partial 16S ribosomal RNA". It matches the Rfam family "Bacterial small subunit ribosomal RNA", at positions 524 to 776 of the family's 1533-position model. The record is from RNAcentral.